UAUACAUGCAGUCGAGCGAACAGACAAGGAGCUUGCUCCUUUGACGUUAGCGGCGGACGGGUGAGUAACACGUGGGUAACCUACCUAUAAGACUGGGAUAACUUCGGGAAACCGGAGCUAAUACCGGAUAAUAUUUCGAACCGCAUGGUUCGAUAGUGAAAGAUGGUUUUGCUAUCACUUAUAGAUGGACCCGCGCCGUAUUAGCUAGUUGGUAAGGUAACGGCUUACCAAGGCGACGAUACGUAGCCGACCUGAGAGGGUGAUCGGCCACACUGGAACUGAGACACGGUCCAGACUCCUACGGGAGGCAGCAGUAGGGAAUCUUCCGCAAUGGGCGAAAGCCUGACGGAGCAACGCCGCGUGAGUGAUGAAGGUCUUCGGAUCGUAAAACUCUGUUAUUAGGGAAGAACAUACGUGUAAGUAACUAUGCACGUCUUGACGGUACCUAAUCAGAAAGCCACGGCUAACUACGUGCCAGCAGCCGCGGUAAUACGUAGGUGGCAAGCGUUAUCCGGAAUUAUUGGGCGUAAAGCGCGCGUAGGCGGUUUUUUAAGUCUGAUGUGAAAGCCCACGGCUCAACCGUGGAGGGUCAUUGGAAACUGUAAAACUUGAGUGCAGAAGAGGAAAGUGGAAUUCCAUGUGUAGCGGUGAAAUGCGCAGAGAUAUGGAGGAACACCAGUGGCGAAGGCGACUUUCUGGUCUGUAACUGACGCUGAUGUGCGAAAGCGUGGGGAUCAAACAGGAUUAGAUACCCUGGUAGUCCACGCCGUAAACGAUGAGUGCUAAGUGUUAGGGGGUUUCCGCCCCUUAGUGCUGCAGCUAACGCAUUAAGCACUCCGCCUGGGGAGUACGACCGCAAGGUUGAAACUCAAAGGAAUUGACGGGGACCCGCACAAGCGGUGGAGCAUGUGGUUUAAUUCGAAGCAACGCGAAGAACCUUACCAAAUCUUGACAUCCUUUGACAACUCUAGAGAUAGAGCCUUCCCCUUCGGGGGACAAAGUGACAGGUGGUGCAUGGUUGUCGUCAGCUCGUGUCGUGAGAUGUUGGGUUAAGUCCCGCAACGAGCGCAACCCUUAAGCUUAGUUGCCAUCAUUAAGUUGGGCACUCUAAGUUGACUGCCGGUGACAAACCGGAGGAAGGUGGGGAUGACGUCAAAUCAUCAUGCCCCUUAUGAUUUGGGCUACACACGUGCUACAAUGGACAAUACAAAGGGCAGCGAAACCGCGAGGUCAAGCAAAUCCCAUAAAGUUGUUCUCAGUUCGGAUUGUAGUCUGCAACUCGACUACAUGAAGCUGGAAUCGCUAGUAAUCGUAGAUCAGCAUGCUACGGUGAAUACGUUCCCGGGUCUUGUACACACCGCCCGUCACACCACGAGAGUUUGUAACACCCGAAGCCGGUGGAGUAACCAUUGGAGCUAGCCGUCGAAGGGG
Molecule: ribosomal RNA, 1431 nt
Filed under: uncultured bacterium
Lineage: Bacteria
Description: bacterial SSU rRNA
Rfam family: Bacterial small subunit ribosomal RNA
Source: RNAcentral